UAUGUGAUCGUCUCUCGCAUAUCAAUAAGCGGAGGAAAAGAAACUAACAAGGAUUCCCCUAGUAACGGCGAGUGAAGCGGGAAGAGCUCAAAUUUGAAAUCUUAAAGGGUUUCCCUUUACGAAUUGUAGUUUAAAGAAGUGUUUUCUGUUGAGGUUUUGGUAAAAGUUCUUUGGAAUAGGACAUCAUAGAGGGUGAGAAUCCCGUAUUUGACCUUUACUUUCAACUUUGUGAUACACUUUCAAAGAGUCGGAUUGUUUGGGAAUGCAGUCCAAAAUGGGUGGUAAAUUUCAUCUAAAGCUAAAUAUUGGCGAGAGACCGAUAGCGAACAAGUACCGUGAGGGAAAGAUGAAAAGAACUUUGAAAAGAGAGUUAAACAGUACGUGAAAUUGUCAAAAGGGAAGCGUUUGACACCAGUGUUGUUUUUCUGAAAAUCAAUUAAAGAACUGUUUAUGCUAAGCUGUUUAGACUUUAUCAGCUAAUCUGUUUAGUUUUGAGCUUUUCUUUAAUGCACUUUUCAGGUUAACAAGUCAACAUCAAUUUCUUUUGCUGUAAAAAAGCUUGAGGAAGGUGGCUUGAGAUUCGUCUUAAGUGUUUAUAGCCUCUUGCCUAUGCAGUCGGAGAGAUUGAGGUCUGCAGCGUAGAUCCUUCUGGGCUAAAUGCAUUUGUGCUAAGUUAUAGCAUUUUAUAGACAACUUGUUGACUAUGAUUUGUCUUGUAGCUUACUCGCUUAUGUUAUUUUACCUACGCUUAGGAUGUUGAAGACUCUACAGAGAUA
RNAcentral lists this ribosomal RNA (776 nucleotides) under uncultured Neocallimastigales. Its description in RNAcentral is "partial large subunit ribosomal RNA". It matches the Rfam family "Eukaryotic large subunit ribosomal RNA", at positions 24 to 633 of the family's 3401-position model. Lineage: Eukaryota; Fungi; Neocallimastigomycota; Neocallimastigomycetes; Neocallimastigales. The record is from RNAcentral.